RNAcentral lists this RNase P RNA (342 nucleotides) under human gut metagenome. RNAcentral describes it as "Bacterial RNase P class B". It matches the Rfam family "Bacterial RNase P class B". From Rfam's summary of the family: Ribonuclease P (RNase P) is a ubiquitous endoribonuclease, found in archaea, bacteria and eukarya as well as chloroplasts and mitochondria. The record is from RNAcentral.
UUUGACAAACGCUGCAUUCUUGUAAUGUAGAGGAAAGUCCAUGCUCGCAUAGUCUGUGAUGACUAUAGUGUUCGUGCAUAGGGAAAAAAUAACCUAUGGUAAGGAAACUUAACGGCUUUGAAAUAACCUAAGUCAUUGAUAUGGUUAAAGUAAAUAUAAAAGUGCCAUAGUGACGAAGAAAUUGGAAACAAUGGAGAUGGAACGCGGUAAACCCCACGAGCGAGAAACCCAAAUUAUGGUAGGGGAACCUAUUAAAAGAGAAAUAAGAAUCUUUUAAAGGACCUGUAAUACAGGUAGAUAAAUGUUUGUCACCUAGAAAUAGGAACAGAACAUGGCUUAUAA